CCCACACCCAGGCCCUGCUGCCGGGCCGAUGGGCACCACUAAGAGGUGCUCUGGGCCCUAACUGGGACCCUCAUCCUGGCCCCUACGCAGGGUCUUCCACAACAGAGGAUACAUUUCUGAAACGCCUUCAACCUAAGAUUUCAACAGCUACCCAGGCAGCCAAAGCCCAAGGGUAAAGAAGAGCAGCCCCAGAAAAGAGGACAGAGCAAGUGUGGCCGGCCUCGGCGGUGGCGGGCCAGCAGGUUAGUGGAGGCAGGAGCACGGAGACGGCAGCGCCGUGUUCCGACCACUUCCUACAGGCGCUUCUCAAAGCGCGGCCCUGGGCAGUCACUGGGGAGCUUGUCAAACAUGGAGAUUCAGGGCCCUGGUGCCCGGGAGGCUGGAGAACCACCGCCAACCGUGUGUCACAUACUGUCCACCCCUCGGAGCUCUUAUAUAUCCCCAAGGGCAUUCCUGAGUAGGUGAAAGGCCUUCCUUUGGCUGACACUGAGGCCUCCCAGGACCUCAGUCUUCCCUGUGUCAUGUCUUGUUCUGACCCACUUGACCCAACAAGGGCACACACAACAUACUCCCACCACUCCUGAAGUCCCCCUGCCUUUGUUCAAGCUAUUCCCUGGUCAGAAAGGCCUUCCUGAACAACAAGGACCUCCUGAUGCUGUGAAGGAUAAAAGGUAUGAAGAUGGGCAGAGGGGGGAGGUGCAGGACCGGGGUGGGGGAUGGGGGGUAAAGAAGGGGUCAAGAGUUAGGAGGCAGGGGAAGGGAGACGGAAAUCCAGCCCCUCCUGUCCCACUCUAAGGGCAUCACGCUGUGGGCAAGGCCUCCCCCUACGCUGCCACCCCAUGCGUGUGCCUGGGCUGGCUGCCAUGGCUGGUCAAUGGGUUAAUGAUUCCAGUAGCACAGGGGCUUGGCACAGGUCACCUCCCACCAUGCACAGGACCUGAGUUAGUGGGGGACACAAAAGACGAGGGCCAUGGCACAGGGGGACACUGGUCUAGUGCCCUCAGGCACCCAGCCUGGGCAGGGCAGGACAAGGGGAAGAAGGGGGCACCUGCUGACAGCCUCUGGCUCAGGGAGGCCGGACCCAGAGUCGGGAAUCCAUGGGAAGCUGGGAGUGUCUCCAGACCCGGUUUAGGGAGAGAGUAAGCAGCCGCCUGUGAGGGGCCUCAGCCUCCUGGUCAUGAAAGAAUCCUGGGUAGAGGCUAAGGCCCCUCAAGGAGACCCUCCUCCUGUGGCAGUGGGAAGGGUCAGCCUGCUCUGUCCAAGCCGCGCCCCCCAGUCCUGGGAACAAAGGGCACGUCCCUGCAAAGCCUGCCCAUGUGUCCUGGGAGCUGGGUCCCCUCAGAGGGCUGCCUAUGGGAGCACAGCCGCAGCCCCAUCAACAGCAGGCAAAAGCCCCAGGGCCGGCCCUAUCUCCAUCUCUGGCCUGUCUGCUCAUGGCCACCAAGUGCCCAGCCCUGGGGAGUAUCCCACAGGGGACCCAGCCUUCCCUCUGAGAGGGGGGCCUCAGAGACGGCCCGGGGGCUCCGGCCCUCACCUCCAGGAGCUGGGGAGCUGCAGAAGAGAGAGAGAGAGAGGAGCUCGCCAGGUGGAGGCGGGGCAGCAGCAAGCUCGAAGACGCACCCCUGUGCAGCCGGGGGUGCCGAGGAGGGCCCGGGGGCUGCGCGAGGUGAAGGGGUGAGGAAAGGCAUCUCAUAGGAGCUGGGUAACUGCGCAUCAGCUCCUGUAUGAAGCCGUUCUCACCCCCCACCUACUGACUACGGCCGCGACCCUCCUCCCGGAAGCAUUGUGUGCACCCCGGACGGCAGGUGGGACCUGCCACUAGCAGCUGCUCGUGGUGACAGCAGUGACGGUAAGGGACAGCCAGCCCAGGCGGCACUGCCCGCCGCUGGGGACCUGCAGCACGGUGGUGCCUGCGUGCCUCGCCCGACCGCGGCCUGCCGCUGCCUCCUCUGGCCAGGGCCUGGGUCUCCCUUAGCUGGGCUCCACAGGGAGGCCUCAGGAGGCUGUGGAGACAGGCUAGGGCAUGGAGCCUGGGGACCCCAGGGGCAGCAGACCUGAGCUGGCACAGGAGCUGUGAGUGGGCAUCAGGGGCUCGGAUUUCCCCCCUCUGCAGCUUUCUACUCCCGGCCACUUUUCCUGCCUCACCGUCUGUGUCAGGACACCUCUGGGAAGCUAGUGAGGUGUCACUGAGCCCAAGAGGAGGUUAGUUUCCCUGAGACAAAAAGCAGCCAGGGGUUACUCAGGGUCGGAGGAUGGGGGAGGGGGAGAUGGGGUGACAGGUAAAGGCUACAGGAUAAAUGACAGAACGACUCCAAAACCGAAUUGCUGAUGGUUGCCUGUAUCUGUGAAUAAACUGAAACCACGGACAUGUGCACUUCAGGGGCUGGACUGCGUGCAUGCAGAUAUCCAAUAAAGUUGUUUUUAAAAAAUAAAGAGCUUCCCUGGUCCCUGCCCAUCUUUCUUGACCACCGUGCCCGCCUUCCCCUGCUGCAGGCCUCGCCACAGACUCAGCAGCCACCAGCACCAUCAACACACUCUCCCACAGAUGCACGGCCUGGCACACGGUAGGUGUUCAAUAACACCGUUAUUGCUGAAUUAAUGACUUAAUGACAGAAGAUCCCCUAAACAGCACAUGGAAGAAAAGCUCCAGGGUGCGGAGUUCUGGCCCUAAGGAGAACUGGGGACAGGAGGGGGGAAGGCGAGGGAGGGGGUGAAGGGCUCCAUGUGACACGUGGUGGGGAAGGGGCUCCAUGUGACACGUGGUGGGGGAGGGGCUCCAUGUGACACGUGGUGGGGAAGGGGCUUCAUGUGACACGUGGUGGGGAAGGGGCUCCAUGUGACACGUGGUGGGGCGAAGGGCUCCAUGUGACACGUGGUGGGGAAGGGGUUCCAUGUGACACAUGGCUGGGGGAGGGGCUCCAUGUGACACACGGUAGAGAAUGGCUCCAUGUGACACACAGGCAUUGGAGUGGCUCCAUGCGACACACUUAAGGAAGAGCCUCCACGUGACACGUGAGUGAGGAGGGCUCCAUGUGACACAUGGGUGGGGAAAGGACUCCAUAUGACACAAGGGUAACGGAGUGGCUCCAUGCAAUACACAUUGGGGAGGCCCUCCAUGUAACAUGUGUUGGGGGAGGGCUCCACGUGACACAUGGGUGGAUGAGGAGCUGCAUGUGACACAUGGGUAAGAGAGGAGCUCCAUGCAACAUAUGUAGGGGAGGGCCUCCAUGUGACACGUGAGUGGAGAUGGCUCCAUGUGUCACAAGGGUGGGGAGGGGCUACAUGUAACACAUGAGUGGGGGAGGGGCUCCAUAUAACAAAUGAGUAAGGAGGGACUCAGUGUGACACACGGGUACAGGGUUUAGUGUGACAAAUGGGUUGAGGAGAGGCUCUAUGUGACACGAGUCAGGGGUAAUAAGUGCAGCACAUGAGUGAGGCAGGGACUCAGUGUGACAUGAGUGGGAGAGGGACUCCAUGUGACACAUGAGGAGGGGAGGGGCUCAGUGUGACACAUGAGGGAGGGAGGGGCUCUGUAUGAUACUUGAGUAAGAAAGGGACUCCAUACGAUACGUGAAUAGAGAAGGAGAUCAACGUGACACAUGGGUGAGGGAGGGGCGCGUUGUGACAGGGGUGUGGGAGGGACUCAGUGUGACACAUGAGUUAGUGAGGGGCUCUGUAUGACACAGCGGGAGAGGGAAUCCAUAUGAUCCGUGAUGAGGGGAGGGGCUCAGUGUGACACAAGGGUGUGGGAGGGGUUGAGUGUGACACACGAGUGAGGGAGGGGCGUAUUGUGACAGGGGUGUGGGAGGGGUUCAGGGUGACACAUGAGGGAGGGAGGGGCGUGUUCUGACACAGGGGUGUGGGAGGGGCUCAGUGUGACCCAUGGGUGAGGGAGAGGCAUGUAACACAGGGGUGUGGGAGGGGCGUGUUCUGACACAAGGGUGUGGGAGGGGCUCAGCGUGACACGGGUGAGGGAGGGGCGUGUUGUGACACAAGGGUGUGUGAGGGGCAUGUUGUGACACAAGGGUAUGGGAGGGGCUCAGUGUGAUACAUGAGUGCAGGAGGGGCGUGUUGUGACACGGGUGUGGGAGGGGCUCAGUGUGACACAUGAGUGCGGGAGGGGCGUGUUGUGACACAGGGGUGUGGGAGGGGUUCAGUGUGACACAUGAGUGAGGGAGGGGCGUGUUGUGACACAAGGGUGUGGGAGGGACUCAGUGUGACACGAGUGAGGGAGGGGCGUGUUGUGACACGGGUGUGGGAGGGGUUCAGUGUGACACGAGUGAGGAACUGUAUAUAACACAUUAGUGGGAGACGGAAUCCAUAUGAUACAUGAUUAGGGGACGGGCUCAGUGUGACACUUGAGUGAGGGACUGGCGUGUUGUGAUACAUGAGUGCGGGAGGGGCGUGUUGUGACACGGGUGUGGGAGGGGCUCAGUGUGACACAUGAGUGCAGGAGGGGCGUGUUGUGACACAGGGAUGUGGGAGGGGCUCAGCGUGACACAUGAGUGAGGAACUCUAUAUAACAUUAGUGGGAGAGGGAAUCCAUAUGAUACAUGAUUAGGGGAGGGGCUCAGUGUGACACUUGAGGGAGAGUGGCGUGUUGUGAUACAUGUGUGAGGGAGGGGCAUGUUGUGACACAAGGGUGUGGGCGGGACUCAGUGUGACACAUGAGUGAGGGAGGGGCGUGUUGAGACACAAGGGUGUGGGCGGGACUCAGUGACACAUGAGUGAGGGAGGGGCGUGUUGUGACACAAGGGUGUGGGCGGGACUCAGUGUGACACAUGAGUGAGGGAGGGGCAUGUUGUGACACAAGGGUUAGGGAGGGACUCAGUGUGACACAUGAGUGAGGGAGGGGCGUGUUGUGACACAGGGGUGUGGGAGGGGUUCUGUGUGACACACGAGUGAGGGAGGGGCAUGUUGUGACACAAGGGUGUGGGAGGGGCAUGUUGUGACACAAGCGUGUGGGAGGGACUCAGUGUGACGAGGGAGGGAGGGGCGUGUUGUGACACAAGGGUGUGUGAGCGGUGUGUUGUGACACAGGGGUGUGGGAGAGGCGUGUUGUGACACAGGGGUGUGGGAGGGACUCAGUGUGACAAAUGAGUGAGGGAGGGGCUCUAUAUGACACAUUAGUGGGAGAGGGAAUCCAUAUGAUACAUGAUUAGGGGAGGGGCUCACUGUGUCACUUGAGUGAGGGAGGGGCAUGUUGUGGCACAGGGGUGUGGGAGAGGCAUGUUGUGACACAAGGGUGUGGGAGGGGUGUGUUGUGACACAGGGGUGUGGGAGAGGCAUGUUGUGACACAAGGGUGUGGGAGGGGCGUGUUGUGACACAGGGGUGUGGGAGGGACUCAGUGUGACAAAUGAGUGAGGGAGGGGCUCUAUAUGACACAGUGGGAGAGGGAAUCCAUAUGACACAUGAUGAGGGGAGGGGCUCUGUGUGACACACGAGUGAGGGAGGGGCGUGUUGUGACACAGGGUCUGGGAGGGACUCAGUGUGACACAUGAGUGAGGGAAGGGCUCUAUAUGACACAGUGGGAGAGGGAAUCCAUAUGACACGAUGAGGGGAGGGGCUCAGAGUGACACAUGAGUGAGGGAGGGGCGUGUUGUGACACAAGGGUGUGGGAGGGGCUCAGUGUGACACAUGAGUGAGGGAGGGGCGUGUUGUCACAAAAGGGUGUGGGAGGGGCCCAGUGUGACACAGGGAUGUGGGAGGGGCCUGUCGUGACACAGGGGUGUGGGAAGGGUUCAGUGUGACACAGGAGUGAGGGAGGGGCUCUAUUUGACACAGUGGGAGAGGGAAUCCACAUGACACAUGACUAGGGGAGGGGCUCAGUGUGACACAUGUGUAAGGGAGGGGCAUACUGUGACACAGGGUUGUGGGCCACACUCAGUGCGACACAUGAGUGGAGGAGAGGCUCCAUAUUCCACAUGAGUGGGAGAGGGACUCCAUGUGACACAUGAGUAGGAGAGGGCAUGUGGUGACACAAGGAUAUGGGAGUGACACAUGAGAGAGAGAGGCUCAGCGUGACAUACUGUCGUCAGAGGGGAUCUAUAUGACACACGUGGGGGAGGGGCUUAGUGUAAUGCAUAGCUGGUGAGGGGGGCUAAUGUGACAAAUGAAUGGGGGAGGGAUUCAGUAAGACACAUGAUGGGGGACAGUGGGAACACGUGAAUGAGUGGGGGAUCUGGCGUUACAAAUAGGUGGGGGGGGUCUUGGUGUAACACAUGAGUAGGAUAAGGGCUCAGUGACACAUGACUGGGGGAGUGUCUCUAUGUGACAUGAAUGGGGGAGGUACUAGGUGUUGCAAUGAGAACGGGGCUCAUUGUGGCACACAGGUUGGGGGAGGGGCUUCACGUAACACGAGUGAGGGAGGGGUUCCAUGUGACAAAUGAGCAGUGGGACUUGGUGGGACUUGGUGAGCCAUGUGAGUGAGAGAGGGGCUAUACGCGACAUAUGGGUGGGGGAAGGACUCAGUGUGACACAUGAGUGUGGAACUCAGUGUGACACAGGGGUGUUGGAGGGGCUGAGUGUGACGCAUGGGUGAAAAAGGUAUUCUAUGUGAUACACGAGUGCAGGAGGGAGUCUGUGUGACACAUGAGUGGGUGAGGGACCCCAUGAUACCUAAGCUGGUGAGGGUCAAGGUGACACAAGACUGAGGAGGGACUGAGUGUGAUGCAUGAGUGGAGGAGGGAGCCCAGUGUGACACACUGAAUGUGACACAUAGACGGGGGGCGGAUCAGUGUGACAUGUGGGUGCAGAAGGGGCUCAGUGUGAUGUAAAAAUGGUGGGAUUCAGUGUGACACAACUGGGGAAAGUCUCUAUGUGACACGAGUAGAAAGGGACUCCGUAUGAUACCUAAGAGGAGGAGGGACUCAGUGGGACACAGGAGGGAGGGAGGAAGGGAGGGGUCAGUGUGACACAUGAAUUGCGGGGCUCAGUUUGACACAUGGGUGGAAUAGGGGUUCUAAGAGACACGUGUGGAGAAACAUGAGUGGGAGGGAGUCAGUGUCACACACAGGUUGGGGAGGAGCUCAGAGUGACACAUGAGUGUAGCAAGGACUCAGUGUAGGACAUGGGUGAGAGGGCCUGUGUGUGACACGAAUGGGGGGCUGUGUGUGACACAAAUGAGACAUGAAUGGGGAGGGAUUUUCAGUGUGAUGCAGGAGUGGGGGAGGUGCUCAGUAUAACACAUGGGUGGGGGAGAGACUUCAUAUGGCACAUUGGUUGGGGGGUCUAGAUGAGACAUGAGUCAGGGAGGGGAUCCAUGUGAUACACGAAUAGGGGACGGACUCUGCAGAACACAUGGGUGGAGAAGAAGCUCUAUGUGACACGAAUAGGGAAAGGACUUGGUGUGACACAAAGGUGGGAGGACAGACUCUGUGUGACACAUGAAUGGGGGAGGGGCUCAAUGUAACACAGGUGGGGAGGAGCUCCAUAUAACACAUGAACGAGUGAGGCACUUAGUAUGACACAUGAGUACAGGGUCUAACGCAUGGGUGGAGGAUGGGCUCCAUGUGAGUCAUGAGUGGAGAAGUGAUCCAGUGUGACACAUGAGUGAGGGAAGGGGCUCAGUGUGACAUAUGAAUAGGGGAGGGGCUCUGUGUGACACAUGGGCAGAGAAAGGACUCCAUGUGACACGUAAGUAGGAAAGGGACUCAGUGUGACACAUGAGUGGGGAGUUUGGUGUGUCACAUGCAUGAAGGAGGUGCUCUGAGACACACGAGUCGAAGUGGGCACAGUGUGAUACAUGAGUGGGGAGAGGAUCAUCUGACAUAUGAGUGGGGGCUCAGUGUGACACAUGAGUGGGGAAGGGCUCCAGAUGACACAUGAGUAGAGGAGGGGCUCAGGAUAACACAUGAAUGAGGGAGGUGCUCACUGUAACACAUGGGUGAGGAAAGCAGCUCAGUACGACACAUGAGAGUGGAAGAGGGGCUCAAUGUGACACAGGAGUGAGGGAGGGAGUCGGGGUGGCAUGUGGGUGGGAGAAGGACUCCAUAUGAUACGUGAGUGGCAGAGGUCUCAGUGUGACACUGAGGGGGGAUUCAGUGUGACACGUGAUUAGAUAGGGACUCAGUAUGACACGAAUAGGAGGGGGACUGUAUGAUUGGAGGCAGAGGUUUAGCAUGACACAUGAGUCAGGGAGGAUUCAGUGUGACAUGGGUGCAGAAGGGGCUCAGUGUGGCCCAUGAAUGGCAGGUCUCAGUGUGACAGUGAGUGGCAGAGGGACUCAGUGUGACAGAGGAGUCGGGUAGGAGUUCCAUAUGAGACAUGAGUUGGUGAGGGGCUCAGUAUGCACGUGAAUGGGGGAGAAACACAGUGUGAUACACAGCAGGGAAGGGAUUUAGUAUAAAACAUGAGCGAGGGUACUUGGUGUGACACAUGAGUGAAACAGGGGCUCUAUGUGACAGAGGGUCUCUAUGUGACACAUGAGUGGAGAAGAGGCUCAAUGUAAUGUGACAUAAGUGGGGAAGGGACUCAGUGAGACACACAGGUUAGGGGGUUUCAGUGUGACACAUGAGUGGAACAGGGACUAGGUGUGGCUCAUAGGUGGGGGAGGGGGCUCUGUGUGACAUGAGUCGGGGAGAGGCUCCAUGUGACACAUGAAUGAGUGAGAAACUAGGUAUGACACAUGAAUAGGGGAGGUGGUCAGUGUAACACGAGUGAAAGACAGACUUAGUUUAAUAGAUAAGUAGGGGGAGGGGCUCAGUGUUACACAUGGUGGAAGAAAGACUGGAUGUGGCACAAUAGUGAGGAACAUACGUGUGACAUGAGUGGAGUAGGGGCCCCAUGACACAUGAGUAGGGGACAGACUCAGUGUUUCACAUGGGGGGAGGAAGAGCUCAGGGUGUCAUGAGUGGGGGGACUUCAUGUGACACAUGGGUGGAGGAGGGGCUCGAUGUGACACAUGGAAGGGAGGAGCAGAUCAGUAUGACACAAGUGCAGUAAGGGGCUUAGUGUGACACGAGUUUGAAAGGAGCUCUAUGUGACAUGAGUUGGGAAAAGGACUCCAGGAUACAUGAGUAGGGGAGGGGCUCAAUGUGACACAUGAGUGGGGGAGGGACUCCAUAUGAUACGUGAGUGGGGGAUGGGGUCAGUGCGACACAUGAGUGAGGAGUGCUCAGUGUGACACAUGGAUGUCACAGGAGCUCAGUGUGACACACAGGGGGAGGGACUUGAUGUGACACAUGGGUGGGGGAGGGGCUCCAUAUGACAUAGUAGAGGAUGGGCUCAGUUGACACAUGAAGAGGUGAGGGACUCAGUAUGACAUCUGGGUGCUGGAGGGGCUUUGUGUGACACAUGAGUAGGGGAGGGGUUCAGUGUGGCCUAUGGAUGGGAAAGGGACUAAGUGUAAUGCUUGAAUGCAAAGGCUCGGUAUAACAUAUGGGUGGAAGAGGGGCACCAUCAGUGGGGAAGGGCUCAGUCCUCCUCAUGAGUAGGGGGAGGGGCUCUGUGUUACGUAUGACACAUGAGUGUGGAAGAGGUUCAAUGUGACACAUGAGUGGAGGAGGAGCCCCAUGGGACACAUGAGAAGAGGAGGGGCUCAGUGACAUGAGUAGAGGAGGGGCUCAGUGACAUGAGUGGAGGAGGGGCUCAUAUAAUGCAUGAGGGGAAGGGCACAGGGUGACACAUGAGUUGGGGGGGGUGUGACACAUGGGUAGAGGAGGGGCUCCAUGUGACACAUGAGAGGAGGAGGGGCUCAAUGUAACACAUGGUGGAGGAAGGGGCUCAGUGUGACACAUGAAAUGGGAGGGACUUCAUAAUGAUGCAUGAGUGAGGGGCUCAAGAUGACACAAGGGUGGGAAAGGGUCUUAGCAUGACACAUGAGUGGGGCUCUUGGUGGACACACAAGUGAAGGGUCUCCACGGGACACAAGUGAGGAAGGGACUAAGUGUGACACACAGGUUAGUGGAAGGGCUCAGAGUGACAUAUGAGUGGAGAGUCUUGGUGAGACACAUGGGUGACGGAGGUGCUGUAUGAGACAAGUGUGGUGGAGGAACUCUAUGCGACACAUGAGUAGGCAAGGGACUCCAUAUGAUGCAUGAGUAGGGGAGGGGCUCAGUGUGACACAUGGGUCUCACAGGGGCUCAGUAAAACACAUAGGUGGGGGAGGGAUUUCAUGUGACACAUAAGUGGGGGAGGGGCUCCACAUAACACAUGGAUUCAGUGUGACCCAUGAGUGAGGGAGCAGCUCAGUAUGACAUAAGGGUGCUGGAGGGGCUAUAUGUGACCCAUGAACCUGGGAAGGGCUCAGUGUGGCACACGGGUGGGAGAUGGGCUCAAGUGUGACACCUGAGUGAGGGGGCUCAGUAUAACACAUCGGUGGAGGCACUAGAGGGGCACCAUGAGACACAGGAGUGAGGGAAGACAGUGCUACUCAUGAUCAGGGAGAGGGCUCAGGGUGACACACGAGUAGGGAAUGGACACAGGUGUGACACAUGAGUGGAGGAGGAGCUCAGUGUAAUACAUGAGUGAGGAGGGGCUCCAUGGGACACAAGUAGAGGAGGGGCUCAGUGUGACACAUGUUCAAGGAGGGGCUUGGUUGACACAUGAACCUAGCAGUGGUUUUCACCCUCAGGAACAUCCCAUGAACAUCCCACUGAGAGUGAUGGGCAUCCUGGGGUGAAGGUGGGACACCCAGGGGGCCACCUCAUCCUACCAGACCCCAAGGCAGUCUGCACACACCACGCUAAUUCUGAUUCAGAAUCUAAUUAAGACAGGCAACUAAACAAUCCCAAAAGUUACAGAAGUUCAUGCACCAAAAGUACAAUUCCAAUUAGCUAACCUGAAACUUCUCCUGAAGACCACCAAGGUCCCCUAAAAUUGAGUCUACUCCAAUCCGUGAAGGGGACCAUUAAGACAGCUGAGGCACCGUCAAACCCAACAAGUCCACACCCCCUCUCCCUCGAACAUCCACAGGGUCUUCAUGGACACUAGAGGGUCCCAUAUCUGGGCUCUCCAAGACCUAGAAAUUUCCAAAAUGGUUAUCUGACAACCAACACUUGGCCAACCAAAAACAUUAAAUCUGAUAGACAAAGCAAUUCCCAUCCUUGACCACCGUCAUUUUAGAGAGCAGAAGUUCACUGUAAUAGCCCCAAAGUAGAAAAGACAUAGCUCAGAUUCUUACAAUGGAAUAAAUUUUGCUUUACACAAAAUUCACUGGCUUGUCCGCUAUGUUCUGAUUUUACCCCAGAAGCAUGAACACUCCUUCACAGACUGGG
RNAcentral lists this long non-coding RNA (11217 nucleotides) under Equus caballus (horse). RNAcentral's name for it is "lncRNA (ENSECAG00000050147.1)". Lineage: Eukaryota; Metazoa; Chordata; Mammalia; Perissodactyla; Equidae. The record is from RNAcentral.